Molecule: non-coding RNA, 816 nt
Organism: Haemorhous mexicanus (house finch)
Lineage: Eukaryota; Metazoa; Chordata; Aves; Passeriformes; Fringillidae
Source: the annotation of a RefSeq genome assembly
ACUCCAAGGGUCCCAAUGUGGGGCCCAGAGUCAGGGUUGGGGUCAGGGGCUGAGCUGUUCCCACCCCCAUGUCCCCCUGUCCCCGCAGGGCUCCGGACGGCCGUGACCCUGCUGGAGUGCGGGGGGGACCUCCAGCCCCCCGGGGGGUCCCUGCGCCUCCUCUGCCGAGGGGCCGGGUUCAGUUUUGAAUAUUUUGCAAUGUUCUGGAUCCGCCAGAGCCCCGGGCAGGGGCUGGAGUGGCUCGCAGGGAUCGACAUCCUUGGCAGCACCGACUACGCGCCAUCGCUCCAGGGCCGGGUCACGAUCUCCAGGGACAACGGGCAGAGCUCGGUGACACUGACCAUGACCGACCUCCGGGACGAGGAUUCCGGAUCCUAUUUCUGUGCCAAAGCUGCUGAUGCUGUUUCUAUUUUUGGUGCUGCUGGUGUUGGUGGUUGGGUUGGUUUUUAGGGCUCCGGCCCUGCCCCUGUCCCCAGCUGUCCCCAGACCCUUCCCCAAACCUCCCUGCCCCCACCCUGAGCCUUGUCCCCACCCUGCCCGUUGUGGCGGACUCGGGUCCAGCUGCAGCCCCGCGGAGAACAAAGGUUUGGAGAGAAGGAAAUGCCGAGCCAUGGGAACUGAACCAGAACUCUUCACUGCGGCCCUCCAGGCCUGUUUGUGUCCCUGUGACCCCACAGGCCAGUGUCCCCAACCCCUACAACUGGUCAGUUCCCAAGCCCCCUAACCCUCUCAAAGGGGCCGCCCUGGCCUGUUCUGGCAGGAGAGCUGCUGUGGGACCCUUGGCAGACCCCUCAAAUAAACCACCGUGGAACAGCC